This 254-nucleotide ribosomal RNA is filed under the name uncultured bacterium. Its description in RNAcentral is "partial 16S ribosomal RNA". It matches the Rfam family "Bacterial small subunit ribosomal RNA", at positions 524 to 776 of the family's 1533-position model. The record is from RNAcentral.
GACGGAGGGUGCUAGCGUUGUUCGGAAUCACUGGGCGUAACGGGCGCGUAGGCGGCCCAUGCCGUCGGCUCGUGAAAGCCCGGGGCUCAACCCCGGAGGUGCGGCCGAGACCCAUGGGCUGGAGGCCGGAAGAGGAGGGUGGAAUACCCAGUGUCGAGGUGAAAUUCGUAGAUAUUGGGUGGAACACCGGUGGCGAAAGCGGCUCUCUGGUCCGGUUCUGACGCUGAGGCGCGAAAGCGUGGGGAGCAAACAGG